Molecule: ribosomal RNA, 285 nt
Filed under: uncultured bacterium
Lineage: Bacteria
Description: partial 16S ribosomal RNA
Rfam family: Bacterial small subunit ribosomal RNA
Source: RNAcentral
AUGCCUACGGGAGGCAGCAGUGAGGAAUAUUGGUCAAUGGGCGCAAGCCUGAACCAGCCAAGUCGCGUGAGGGAAGACGGCCCUACGGGUUGUAAACCUCUUUUGCCGGGGAGCAAGCCUGAGCACGUGUGCCCAGGCGGAGCGUACCCGGAGAAAAAGCAUCGGCUAACUACGUGCCAGCAGCCGCGGUAAUACGUAGGUGGCAAGCGUUAUCCGGAUUUAUUGGGCGUAAAGGGAACGCAGGCGGUCUUUUAAGUCUGAUGUGAAAGCCUUCGGCUUAACCGG